GCCGCGUGAGUGAAGAAGGCCUUCGGGUUGUAAAGCUCUUUCAGACGGAAAGAAAUCGUGCCGGCUAAUACCCUGCAUGGAUGACGGUACCGUCAGAAGAAGCACCGGCUAACUACGUGCCAGCAGCCGCGGUAAUACGUAGGGUGCGAGCGUUAAUCGGAAUUACUGGGCGUAAAGCGUGCGCAGGCGGUUUUGUAAGACAGGUGUGAAAUCCCCGGGCUUAACCUGGGAACUGCAUUUGUGACUGCAAGGCUAGAGUAUGGCAGAGGGGGGUAGAAUUCCACGUGUAGCAGUGAAAUGCGUAGAGAUGUGGAGGAAUACCGAUGGCGAAGGCAGCCCCCUGGGUCAAUACUGACGCUCAUGCACGAAAGCGUGGGGAGCAAACAGGAUUAGAUACCCUGGUAGUCCACGCCCUAAACGAUGUCAACUAGGUGUUGGGGGAGGAGACUUCCUUAGUACCGCAGCUAACGCGUGAAGUUGACCGCCUGGGGAGACGGGCCGCAAGGUUGAA
Molecule: ribosomal RNA, 511 nt
Filed under: uncultured bacterium
Lineage: Bacteria
Description: bacterial SSU rRNA
Rfam family: Bacterial small subunit ribosomal RNA
Source: RNAcentral